GGGCUAGUCCUUUCUAAUUGGUCAGAAACUUUCUUGUCAUGAAAGUAAAUGUCGGUUCGAAUCCGACCUAACCCG
This 75-nucleotide transfer RNA is filed under the name Rhynchosporium secalis (leaf blotch of barley). RNAcentral describes it as "tRNA-Asp". It matches the Rfam family "tRNA". From Rfam's summary of the family: Transfer RNA (tRNA) molecules are approximately 80 nucleotides in length. Their secondary structure includes four short double-helical elements and three loops (D, anti-codon, and T loops). RNAcentral also lists the same sequence under 3 other names. The record is from RNAcentral. Lineage: Eukaryota; Fungi; Ascomycota; Leotiomycetes; Helotiales; Ploettnerulaceae.